CGGGCUGUAGCGCAGUUGGCUAGCGCGCAGCGUUCGGGACGCUGAGGUCGCGGGUUCAAGUCCCGCCAGCCCGACCA
Molecule: transfer RNA, 77 nt
Filed under: Candidatus Buchananbacteria bacterium
Lineage: Bacteria; Candidatus Buchananiibacteriota
Description: tRNA-Pro
Rfam family: tRNA
About the family: Transfer RNA (tRNA) molecules are approximately 80 nucleotides in length.
Source: RNAcentral